CAAGACAUUAACAAAAUAAUACCAAAAAAAUUAUAGAAACGGCUACUUAACUUUCUGAAUGAAAUAUCAAAAGUGGGACCAUAUUCAAGAAAAAAAAAAUUAACUUGAACAGCCUGCUUAAUGAUAUAAUAUUUUUUAGUUAGGGAAUUAAUCAUGCAUCUCCGGAUUUAUUCGAUUCGCCAAAGGGGGAUUCCUGGGAGUGCCACAUUGAAGUGUAUACACUGUUCUUAGCCAUAAGCUGUUCAUGACUACCUUGCUCAACAACACGACCCUUUUCAAGAACGAAUAUAAUGUCACAAUCCUUUAUUGUGCGAAGACGGUGAGCGAUGAAUACACUGGUUUUGUGAGAUCCCUUAAUAAGAUCAUUGAUAUUUCUCAAUAGUGCGCGUUCAGUAUUAGUGUCCAAAGCUGAAGUGGCUUCGUCAAAAAAAAGAAUUUCUGGAUUCUUAAGUAAUAGCCUUGAAACUGCAAGUCUUUGCUUUUCUCCUCCAGAGAUCAUUAAACCACGUUCGCCAACUUUUGUUUGAUAUCCCUCUGGAAAGCUUUCAAUAAUGUCAUGAAUCUUAGCUUUUUUGGCGGCUUCCACUAUUUCGUCGUUAGAUGCCUUCGGAUUACCAUACCCAAUAUUGUAAAGGAUUGUAUCAUUAAAUAGAGGCGUGUCCUGAGGUACAACACCGAUGGCUUUUCGAAGUGAAUUUAGAGUUAUCUGGUCAAGUCUUUGAUUGUCUAUUAAAAUCUUUCCUGAGUCCGUAUCGUAAAAGCGGAACAAAAGUCGAAGGAUUGUUGAUUUACCACAUCCGCUUGCGCCUACAAAAGCGACUUUUGCUCCAGCGGGGAUGUUAAAACUGCAACCAUUAAGAAUAGGUCUAUUUGGAUUAUACGAAAAAUGAACGUUAUCGAAUUGAAUAGAUCCGCCUUUAAGAACCAAAUCUCGAGCAUCUGGCGCCUCCUUCACUUGGAUAUUAAUGCGCUUUAAAGAAAACAAUUGCUCCAUAUCAGUAAAAGCCUGUCUCAUUUCGCGAUAGACAGAUCCAAGGAAGUUAAGAGGAAUUGACAACUGAAAUACUAAUUGGUUAAUCAUGACAAGGUCACCUACAGUAAGGUUGGAAGUUACAAUUCCACGACAACCCAUGUACAUCAUCAAAGUAAGAGCGGUAGAGAAUAUAAUAGCCUGUCCUGAAUUCAAAAAGGCCAAAGAAGAUGCUACCUUAACGUUGGCUUUUUCGUAGGCGGAAAGAUGCUUUUCAUAUCUGCUCAUUUCGUAUGAUUCGUUAUUAAAAGUUUUAACGGCUUCAUAAUUAAUCAGAGAUUCAAUUGCCGCGGCUGAUGCUUUACUGUCAGCAGCAUUUGCUUGACGACGGAAUACAGUUCUCCAGGAUGUCGUCCUAACAGUAAAAAGAGCAUAAAGAGCAACGGUUGUAGCAGCAAUGGCCGAAAACGAAGGUCCGUACUUGUAAGUGAGAAUACCACUCACCAUAGCAAUUUCAAGGGUAAUAGGAAUGAUGUGUAACACCAUGGAGGAAAGAAUGAAACUAAUACCUUUUGUACCACGAUCCAUUGCUCUAGUAAUACUUCCUGUUUGCUUUGAGAGAUGAAAAUUCAUGUCAAGGUUCAACAGAUGUUGAUAGACAUUGCUAGAAACACUUCGAAUAGCGCUUUGCGACACAAUUGCAAAAACGCUAUUCCUUAACUCUUGAAAAACGGUAGAAAAUAUUCUAGCAAAGCCAUAACCGAGAACAACAGCUCCUACAGUAGACCACAAUGCUCCUACUUCUUGAACAAGUGUUGUAUUCAUGGUAUCGAUAAUUGAUUUAAAGUAAAAAGGAACUUGGACGUUAAGAAUUUUGGCAGCUACAAGUAGUGCGAGAGCCGAAACAACUCUAACUUUCAAAUUAGUCUUCCCCUUGGGCC
Molecule: long non-coding RNA, 1911 nt
Filed under: Schizosaccharomyces pombe (fission yeast)
Lineage: Eukaryota; Fungi; Ascomycota; Schizosaccharomycetes; Schizosaccharomycetales; Schizosaccharomycetaceae
Source: RNAcentral